UAAUACGGAGGGUGCAAGCGUUAUCCGGAUUCACUGGGUUUAAAGGGAGCGUAGGUGGGGUGGUAAGUCAGUGGUGAAAUCUCCGGGCUUAACUCGGAAACUGCCGUUGAUACUAUCAGUCUUGAAUAUUGUGGAGGUAAGCGGAAUAUGUCAUGUAGCGGUGAAAUGCUUAGAUAUGACAUAGAACACCGAUAGCGAAGGCAGCUUGCUACACAAUUAUUGACACUGAGGCUCGAAAGCGUGGGGAUCAAACAGGAUUAGAUACCCUGGUAGUCCACGCCCUAAACGAUGGAUACUCGACAUACGCGAUACACAGUGUGUGUCUGAGCGAAAGCAUUAAGUAUCCCACCUGGGAAGUACGACCGCAAGGUU
This 372-nucleotide ribosomal RNA is filed under the name uncultured bacterium. RNAcentral's name for it is "bacterial SSU rRNA". It matches the Rfam family "Bacterial small subunit ribosomal RNA", at positions 521 to 895 of the family's 1533-position model. The record is from RNAcentral.